ACUAAACAAACACUUCAUUUGCAUUUGCAUGCCUUGCAUGGGAAACUAUCUGAGAAAACAAUAGACCCAGCGCACCAACAGAAGCAGACAACCAACCGAGUCAGUGUGUGUAAUGAACCAUGGUGUACCAACCACUAUGUGUGU
Long non-coding RNA from Cyprinus carpio (common carp), 144 nucleotides. RefSeq lists it as uncharacterized. Lineage: Eukaryota; Metazoa; Chordata; Actinopteri; Cypriniformes; Cyprinidae. The transcript has 2 exons. The record is from RefSeq and is a predicted model, not a curated record.